RNAcentral lists this long non-coding RNA (211 nucleotides) under Mytilus galloprovincialis (Mediterranean mussel). Lineage: Eukaryota; Metazoa; Mollusca; Bivalvia; Mytilida; Mytilidae. The record is from RNAcentral.
UUCAAUCCUUUCAGCAGCUUCCCCUCUAUUACAGAGUAGGUCAUCUAUUCCCUGGGGUAGAAAAUCCUUGGUAUUUACUAUUUAGAACACGUUUGAGUUCUGUAAACAGUUAAAAGAGGUGCGAAAGGUACCAGAGGGACAGUCAAACUCAUAGAUCGAAAAUAAACUGACAAUUAAUUAAUACAUUUGACAAAAUCACGAUAAUAUAUGU